RNAcentral lists this long non-coding RNA (838 nucleotides) under Gadus morhua (Atlantic cod). RNAcentral's name for it is "lncRNA (ENSGMOG00000030208.1)". Lineage: Eukaryota; Metazoa; Chordata; Actinopteri; Gadiformes; Gadidae. The record is from RNAcentral.
UCCCAAUACUUGGCUCGCUUCAAAAUCUCAGCCCUAACCCUCGCUGUUGCGCGUUCACGCGCCGUGGAGCCAUGUCCCAAUACCAGUUUAAAGGUAGCUUAAGGGGUAGGGGGAGGGCUAACAUCCCCUCAAAAUUUAGAUUUUCGAUGGCGCUUCAGUUCUGACUUGCUCCCACAAUACCUUGCGAGAAAACGGAAAAUCAAGAAAUAUCCUAGACAAGAUGGAGGGCGAAAAGAUGCGACAGGAUUGGAAAAACACAAAUGACUUCGUUGAGUCCACUGCCACCAGCCCCCCCCACCUCUCCCUCAUGCUCCUCCACCCCAGGCACCUCUUUCACCACCCCAGACACCCCUUCCAAGAGGAGAGUUCCAGGGAGCAGGCGAGGCAUGAGGAGAGCGAGGCAAAGUUGGCGGAAUGGUGGAGAAGAUGUGAUCCUCCACCAUUCUCUCAAAAGCUGAGAGAGAGUGUGUGUGUGUGUGUGUAUUUUUAGGUGUGCGUGUGUGUGUAUUUUUAGAUGCGUGUGUGUGUAUUUUUAGAUGUGUGGUUCAGUGUUUCUUAUUUAAAUAAAGUUUUUCUUCUAAAGUGUUCUUGUUCAUAACCGAUUAUUAUCUAAGGGUGCACUCACACUAGGCCAACUGGCAGUGGCCGUGGCCGUUUUAGCACCUAACCGUGCUCAAAUCUGUCAGUGUGAGUGUGGCCAGUCUGGCCAGGCCGGGCCAAUUUGGCCACUUGGGAGAGGUGUGCUGCUACGGCACGGGCCGCUACGGUACAGAUGCUAAUGAGCCGACACGCGCUACGCAACCUGAGCUGGAUGACGUAUAGUCAAUGCGAAGACCAC